AGAACGAACGCUGGCGGCAUGCCUAACACAUGCAAGUCGAACGCUCUUGGGGCUUCGGUUCCAAGGGAGUGGCGCACGGGUGAGUAGCGCGUGGGAACCUGCCCUGGAGUGGGGGAUAACCGAGGGAAACUUCGGCUAAUACCGCAUACGCCGGGAAACCGGGAAAGAUUUAUCGCUCUAGGAGGGGCCCGCGUCGGAUUAGGUAGUUGGUGGGGUAACGGCUUACCAAGCCUGUGAUCCGUAGCUGGUCUGAGAGGAUGAUCAGCCACACUGGGACUGAGACACGGCCCAGACUCCUACGGGAGGCAGCAGUGGGGAAUAUUGGACAAUGGGCGCAAGCCUGAUCCAGCAAUGCCGCGUGAGUGAUGAAGGCCUUCGGGUUGUAAAGCUCUUUCGCCCGCGACGAUGAUGACGGUAGCGGGAGAAGAAGCCCCGGCUAACUUCGUGCCAGCAGCCGC
RNAcentral lists this ribosomal RNA (458 nucleotides) under uncultured bacterium. Its description in RNAcentral is "SSU rRNA". It matches the Rfam family "Bacterial small subunit ribosomal RNA", at positions 26 to 518 of the family's 1533-position model. The record is from RNAcentral.